Molecule: long non-coding RNA, 230 nt
Organism: Myripristis murdjan (pinecone soldierfish)
Lineage: Eukaryota; Metazoa; Chordata; Actinopteri; Holocentriformes; Holocentridae
Exons: 3
Source: RefSeq, a predicted model, not a curated record
CGCAGGCAGCUGGAGCUGGAGAACAACCUCAGCCAGGUGCAAGAUGUCACGAUGGAGAUUCAGGAUCUUCUACAGUGGCUGGAGAACACAGACCUAAGACUGUCCUCCUCCAAGACCAUGUGGGGGAUGCCUGACUCUGCCAGUGAGAGGCUCAGUGCACACCUGGAACUAUGUAAUGAGAUGGAGUCAAAGCUUCAUGCCUACACAGAUGUGAAGAACGCCAUUCACAG